GGGGACGUGGUGUAUGGCGCACCGCUGCAUUUACUGAUCAAGGCACCAAUUUGGUUAUGCAGCAGGCCGGGGUUCGACUCCCCGCGUCCCCC
Non-coding RNA from Mycena latifolia, 92 nucleotides. Lineage: Eukaryota; Fungi; Basidiomycota; Agaricomycetes; Agaricales; Mycenaceae. The record is from the annotation of a GenBank genome assembly.